Long non-coding RNA from Harmonia axyridis, 660 nucleotides. RefSeq lists it as uncharacterized. The transcript has 4 exons. NCBI's taxonomy places the organism in Eukaryota, Metazoa, Arthropoda, Insecta, Coleoptera, Coccinellidae. The record is from RefSeq and is a predicted model, not a curated record.
CUCUGCGGUCAGUCCAACAGCAUUGUAGGAUGUGGGAAGCGACGGCACCGUGACGUCAUCAUGCAUCAACAGCAAUACACAGGCGAAAAGAGAGAAGGAAAGCACCAAUGAGACAAUAUUACAAUAUCGAAAUAAAUUGGAGUAUAAAACUCGAUUUAUGAAGAAUGGAAAAAUAGCUAGAAACAUAGGUGUUUAGCGUGCACAUUGAAGCAGAUAUUACUUUGACAGAGAAAAAUGAUCACAGAUGCAUGCAAGAGAUGAGUCGUUAGCUUAGUGCCUCUCUUAGCCAGUAAUCAUAUGGAAGACAAAGUUGCAAGUGGUCUAUUGCUGGCAGAUUAAGUUCUGAGCCUAUUUACAGGACAAUGCGACACAUUUACGUCCAUUUAAAACACGACCACGAUGGUUUACUUUCUACCUGUAGCAAACUGCCAUAAAAGUAAAACAAAUGAAGACACCGAGGACCGCGCCUACCAAGAUGAAUACCAGGGAUAAGGUGCUUAAGUUAUCAAUGUUCUUGUCUCCUGGAAAUUAGGAGAUCGUGCUCCCAAUUGACACUGCAACGAGCCGCACUUCAAGUUUUCUGGAGCACACUUGAUGAAUCUUCCACUGGAGUCACUACCGCAGUGGCCAUUGAUGGAACCUUUCGAGUUGAACUGUUCG